This 722-nucleotide ribosomal RNA is filed under the name marine bacterium CS-41. RNAcentral describes it as "bacterial SSU rRNA". It matches the Rfam family "Bacterial small subunit ribosomal RNA", at positions 41 to 807 of the family's 1533-position model. The record is from RNAcentral.
AGCGCAGCUACACAUGCAAGUCGAGCGCUCUCUUCGGAGGGAGCGGCGGACGGGUUAGUAACGCGUGGGAAUAUACCCUUUGGUACGGAAUAGCCUCUGGAAACGGAGAGUAAUACCGUAUGAGCCCUUCGGGGGAAAGAUUUAUCGCCAAAGGAUUAGCCCGCGUUAGAUUAGGUAGUUGGUGGGGUAAUGGCCUACCAAGCCUACGAUCUAUAGCUGGUUUUAGAGGAUGAUCAGCAACACUGGGACUGAGACACGGCCCAGACUCCUACGGGAGGCAGCAGUGGGGAAUCUUGGACAAUGGGGGCAACCCUGAUCCAGCCAUGCCGCGUGAGUGAUGAAGGCCUUAGGGUCGUAAAGCUCUUUCGCCUGUGAAGAUAAUGACGGUAGCAGGUAAAGAAACCCCGGCUAACUCCGUGCCAGCAGCCGCGGUAAUACGGAGGGGGUUAGCGUUGUUCGGAAUUACUGGGCGUAAAGCGCACGUAGGCGGACUGGAAAGUUGGGGGUGAAAUCCCAGGGCUCAACCCUGGAACUGCCUCCAAAACUAUCAGUCUAGAGUUCGAGAGAGGUGAGUGGAAUUCCGAGUGUAGAGGUGAAAUUCGUAGAUAUUCGGAGGAACACCAGUGGCGAAGGCGGCACACUGGCUCGAUACUGAACGCUGAGGUGCGAAAGUGUGGGGGAGCAAACAAGAUUAGAUACACCUGGUAGUCCAUACCUGAAAA